UACGUAGGGGGCAAGCGUUGUCCGGAUUUAUUGGGCGUAAAGAGCGUGUAGGCGGCCAGGGAGGUCCGUUGUGAAAACUCGAGGCUCAACCUCGAGACGCCGAUGGAAACCCUCCAGCUAGAGUCCGGAAGAGGAGAGUGGAAUUCCUGGUGUAGCGGUGAAAUGCGCAGAUAUCAGGAGGAACACCAAUGGCGAAGGCAGCUCGCUGGGACGGUACUGACGCUGAGACGCGAAAGCGUGGGGAGCAAACAGG
RNAcentral lists this ribosomal RNA (253 nucleotides) under uncultured bacterium. RNAcentral's name for it is "partial 16S ribosomal RNA". It matches the Rfam family "Bacterial small subunit ribosomal RNA", at positions 524 to 776 of the family's 1533-position model. The record is from RNAcentral.